Molecule: ribosomal RNA, 689 nt
Filed under: uncultured Bacteroidales bacterium
Lineage: Bacteria; Pseudomonadati; Bacteroidota; Bacteroidia; Bacteroidales
Description: bacterial SSU rRNA
Rfam family: Bacterial small subunit ribosomal RNA
Source: RNAcentral
GAUGAACGCUAGCUACAGCUUAACACAUGCAAGUCGAGGGGCAGCAUGGUCUUAGCUUGCUAAGGCUGAUGGCGACCGGCGCACGGGUGAGUAACACGUAUCCAACCUGCCGUCUACUCUUGGCCAGCCUUCUGAAAGGAAGAUUAAUCCAGGAUGGCAUCAUGAGUUCACAUGUCCGCAUGAUUAAAGGUAUUUUCCGGUAGACGAUGGGGAUGCGUUCCAUUAGAUAGUAGGCGGGGUAACGGCCCACCUAGUCAACGAUGGAUAGGGGUUCUGAGAGGAAGGUCCCCCACAUUGGAACUGAGACACGGUCCAAACUCCUACGGGAGGCAGCAGUGAGGAAUAUUGGUCAAUGGGCGAUGGCCUGAACCAGCCAAGUAGCGUGAAGGAUGACUGCCCUAUGGGUUGUAAACUUCUUUUAUAAAGGAAUAAAGUCGGGUAUGCAUACCCGUUUGCAUGUACUUUAUGAAUAAGGAUCGGCUAACUCCGUGCCAGCAGCCGCGGUAAUACGGAGGAUCCGAGCGUUAUCCGGAUUUAUUGGGUUUAAAGGGAGCGUAGAUGGAUGUUUAAGUCAGUUGUGAAAGUUUGCGGCUCAACCGUAAAAUUGCAGUUGAUACUGGAUGUCUUGAGUGCAGUUGAGGCAGGCGGAAUUCGUGGUGUAGCGGUGAAAUGCUUAGAUAUCACGAAGA